GAUGAAGAACGCAGCGAAAUGCGAUAAGUAAUGUGAAUUGCAGAAUUCAGUGAAUCAUCGAAUCUUUGAACGCACAUUGCGCCCGCCAGUAUUCUGGCGGGCAUGCCUGUUCGAGCGUCAUUUCAACCCUCAAGCCCCCGGGCUUGGUGUUGGGGAUCGGCGUGCCCUCGCGGCGCGCCGUCCCCUAAAUCUAGUGGCGGUCUCGCUGUAGCUUCCUCUGCGUAGUAGCAACACUCGCACUGGAUCGCAGCGUGGCCACGCCGUUAAACCCCCCACUUCUGAAAGUUUGACCUCGGAUCAGGUAGGAAUACCCGCUGAACUUAAGCAUAUCAAUAAGCGGAGGA
RNAcentral lists this unclassified non-coding RNA (344 nucleotides) under soil metagenome. RNAcentral's name for it is "partial contains 5.8S ribosomal RNA, internal transcribed spacer 2, and large subunit ribosomal RNA". The stretch from base 1 to 120 matches the Rfam family "5.8S ribosomal RNA", at positions 35 to 154 of the family's 154-position model. The record is from RNAcentral.